UUGGAUUCUCUUGUGGAUCAAGUCAUACCCACAAAUAUGCAUCCAUAACAAAGAAUCCCUAACUUUUAUCAUGCAAAGAAAGAUAAAUGAAAGAAAAGGGGCAUGAUAUGGAUAAACGAGGUCUAGAACCCUUUUUAAGUUGUAUACUCUAGCAAUUUUUAACCUAAUACCCAGCAUACUGAAAUUGAAAUCAAGGGCAAUUUUCCAUCUCAAUUUUUCAAAAAUACAUCGCCUGUUUGACAUUAAGUUAGAAACUAUUUAUGCAACACAUCAAACGGUACAAGUAAGGUGGUUUUAGUUAAAGCACCCAAGGGGUGGUUUUGCUAAAAUUAGUUGUAAACACAAUUCCAAAUAGAUGAUUAAUAUGUUAUUAGCCAUGUUUUUGGAAUUGGGCUUCAGAAAAUCCAACAGCAAUGUGGACUGCCCUCUAUGCAUGGAGAUUUUGUUGAUGCUUUGUUAAAUCUAUAUAAAGCUAAGCAACUUGCAUGAUCAGAAAUCUUUUUUCAAUGCACUUCCCACCCUAUACUCUUAGCAGUUCUUGGAUUUGCAAGAUUAUCUACACCAAGUUGAACAGCAAGUUAUACUUUUUGCUACUACGUUUAAUGGAGUAUUGGAUUUAUGGCUCUACAGGGUAAGCCAAGUGGCCAGAU
This 650-nucleotide unclassified non-coding RNA is filed under the name Hevea brasiliensis (rubber tree). Lineage: Eukaryota; Viridiplantae; Streptophyta; Magnoliopsida; Malpighiales; Euphorbiaceae. The record is from RNAcentral.